GAUGAACGCUGGCGGCGUGCCUAAUACAUGCAAGUCGAGCGAACAGACGAGGAGCUUGCUCCUCUGACGUUAGCGGCGGACGGGUGAGUAACACGUGGAUAACCUACCUAUAAGACUGGGAUAACUUCGGGAAACCGGAGCUAAUACCGGAUAAUAUAUUGAACCGCAUGGUUCAAUAGUGAAAGACGGUUUUGCUGUCACUUAUAGAUGGAUCCGCGCCGCAUUAGCUAGUUGGUAAGGUAACGGCUUACCAAGGCGACGAUGCGUAGCCGACCUGAGAGGGUGAUCGGCCACACUGGAACGGAGACACGGUCCAGACUCCUACGGGAGGCAGCAGUAGGGAAUCUUCCGCAAUGGGCGAAAGCUUGACGGAGCAACGCCGCGUGAGUGAUGAAGGUCUUCGGAUCGUAAAACUCUGUUAUUAGGGAAGAACAAAUGUGUAAGUAAAUAUGCACGUCUUGACGGUACCUAAUCAGAAAGCAACGGCUAACUACGUG
Molecule: ribosomal RNA, 497 nt
Filed under: uncultured bacterium
Lineage: Bacteria
Description: partial 16S ribosomal RNA
Rfam family: Bacterial small subunit ribosomal RNA
Source: RNAcentral